This 468-nucleotide ribosomal RNA is filed under the name uncultured bacterium. RNAcentral's name for it is "partial 16S ribosomal RNA". It matches the Rfam family "Bacterial small subunit ribosomal RNA", at positions 28 to 507 of the family's 1533-position model. The record is from RNAcentral.
GACGAACGCUGGCGGCGUGCUUAACACAUGCAAGUCGAACGGAAAGGCCCUGCUUUUGUGGGGUGCUCGAGUGGCGAACGGGUGAGUAACACGUGAGUAACCUGCCCUUGACUUUGGGAUAACUUCAGGAAACUGGUGCUAAUACCGGCUAGGAGCUCCUGCUGCAUGGUGGGGGUUGGACAGUUUCGGCGGUUGGGGAUGGACUGGCGGCUUAUCAGCUUGUUGGUGGGGUAGUGGCUUACCAAGGCUUUGACGGGUAGCCGGCCUGAGAGGGUGACCGGCCACAUUGGGACUGAGAUACGGCCCAGACUCCUACGGGAGGCAGCAGUGGGGAAUAUUGCACAAUGGGCGGAAGCCUGAUGCAGCAACGCCGCGUGCGGGAUGACGGCCUUCGGGUGGUAAACCGCUUUCGCCUGUGACGAAGCGUGAGUGACGGUAAUGGGUAAAGAAGCACCGGCUAACUACGUG